Molecule: long non-coding RNA, 6003 nt
Filed under: Triticum aestivum (bread wheat)
Lineage: Eukaryota; Viridiplantae; Streptophyta; Magnoliopsida; Poales; Poaceae
Description: long non-coding RNA (TAES_LNC010139)
Source: RNAcentral
AGCCAAGACCAAGGCCUCUCCUAGAAGCUGACUCGGUCAAGCCCAGCAGGUAACCGGCGCUCGCGUGACCGGCUUGGCCCAUCUACCGGACGUGCCCCUCUUAAGCAAAAACUAAGGCUAACUUGAGGGGAUAAGGAGGGUAAAAGAAUAUUUUGUCCGUCUAUCUUCUUCCUAUCCGCUACUCUGUAUCUCCGCUUUCCCCUCUUCUCAUCUACAGAACUAUGUGUUAUUGUGACUGAAUCCUUUGUGUGACACAAAGCGAUUGCUACUAAUCUCUGUGGGUUCGUAGCAAUUGGAAUCAGAGCCACCGAUCUUUCGGCAUCAUUUCCCACCGAUUUUUUUUCCCAGCCACGACGGGGAAAUCUGCGCGCCCAACGUUGACGGACAGGAUGGGGGCGGCAGAGCUGACCAUCUCUGAGCUGCAGAAAUUGAUCCAAGCGACGGUGAUUCAGAGCAAGGCCGUCUCCGACGCGGGGGUCCGCAACUCCAAGCGGAUCGACGAGCUCCGCACCACGGUCGACUCCUUCUCUGAAUCGACCACCAAGGCUCUCUCCGAUCUCACCAGCUCCACGGCGACGGCGACCCAGCGUGUCGAGACUACGCUGGACCGCAUAAUCACGGCCCACAACAAGCUCGACAAGACAGCCGACGAGUUGAAGUUGUCGAUGGAGGCGGUGGCGCGCCGCGUCGAUUUCCUCGAGCGGGGGCAGCCUCCUUCCACGACCCCGGCGCAGCCGCAUCAGCGACCGGGUGUGCUUCGGCCCCAUGGGCACCGUGAAGAACUGCAUCACCAGGGUGCUGUUUCUGGAGAGAUUCGAACCUCCGGACACGCCCUGGUCGGGGGUGAGCAAUCGCAAACCCGUGACCACCUUACUUCUGCUAUGUAUGGUUCAGCAGAGAGAGAUGACGAUCGUACCACUGCAUAUCCGCAUCAGCCCUACAGUCAUAGUGGUCCGCGGUUGCCCAAAUCAGAUUUCCCAAAAUUCACUGGUGAUAAUCCCAAAUGGUGGAAGGAACAAUGCGAAAAGUAUUUUAAAAUGUACCAUGUUAAUCCUGAGUUGUGGGUGGAUUUUGCCACUAUGCAUUUCACCGGCAAUGCUUCCCUGUGGUUGCAAACUUUCGAAGCCAUGCAUUCAGUGGAUAGCUGGCCUGCCUUGUGUGUAGGAGUGUUUGCUAAGUUCAACAAAAAUCAGUAUGCUAAACUCAUGGACAUGUUUUUUGCAUUUCGGCAAGUUGCAUCAGUAGAUGAAUAUGCCCAUACAUUUGAAGAGUUCAUGCAUAAGAUUCUGGUUUACAAUCACUCCUAUGAUGAAACCUUCUUUGUGAACCGUUUCAUUGAUGGUCUUAAGCCAGACAUCAAGUCUGCUAUUAAAUUACACAAUCCUGGAACUGUUGAUCUGGCUUGUUCCCUUGCUCAAACACAGGAAGUGUUGUUGGUGGAAGAUACUCGUCCGUCCUUCAAGAAGGGGGAUUAUCGCCACAAAUUCAAGAUGAAUGCUCAGCUGCCAAGCAUUCUAGGAAACCCGGGUGAGAAGCGGACGGAUGACAGGAUCAAGUACAACACUAAGUUUGAUUCUCUCAAGGCCCAACGGCGUGCUCGUGGCGAAUGCUUUAAGUGCGGGGAAAAAUUCUCCCCAGGCCACAAGUGCCCCCCGCAGGUUCAGUUGCAUGUCCUUGAAGAACUGAUUACCUCUCUUGAUAUUUCUGAUGACGAAGAUGACAAUGGAUGGCCUGAAGAGCACACCCCUGACCCGGAUGAGGAUGACCAUGUCAUGAAGCUAUCUGUCCAUGCAGCAUGUGGGACACAGUGUAAGAAGAGUAUUCGGCUUCAGGGUUUCAUUGGCAAACAAGAAGUAUUGAUCCUGGUAGAUUCUGGAAGCUCCAGUAACUUCAUAAGCUCCAAAUUGGUUGACCGUUUACAGUGUACCACUGCUCCGUUUCCUGCUGCCAAAGUGACAGUUGCUGAUGGAGGAAGUCUUGACUGUAACAUGAUGGUGUCAUCUCUACAGUGGUGGACUCAAGGCACAUCAUUUACAUCCUCGCUGAAGGCACUUCCAUUAGGCACAUAUGACAUCAUCCUUGGUAUGGAGUGGCUUGAAGAGAUGAGCCCAAUGUGGGUAGAUUGGAAAAAGAAGACAUUACGGUUCACACAUAAUGGAGUUCGCAUCACUCUUCGAGGCAUUAAAGAUAAACCUGCCAGUUGCUCAGCUAUUUCUGCUAAACAGCUUCAGGGCUUGGUUAACAAUGGAGGUGUGGUGCAUAUGUUAGAAUUGUGUGCUGUGCAAGACGUAUUCGAGGCACCUGGCUCAUCCACCCCUCUACCACCAGCCAUUACCCGAGUUCUUUCUCAGCAUGAGGCUGUGUUUGAAGAUCCUCAGGUGUUGCCUCCUCACCGCAGUUUUGACCAUAACAUUCCACUGCUUCCAGGGGUGAAGCCUGUUAAUGUCAAGCCAUAUCGUUAUGCUCCUAUGCAGAAAACUGAGAUUGAGCGACAAGUGCGUGAAAUGCUCCAAAAGGGACUUAUACAGAAUAGCACUAGCUCAUUUGCAUCUCCGGUGUUGUUGGUGAAGAAGAAGGAUGGUUCAUGGCGUUUUUGUGUUGACUAUAGGCACCUCAAUAAUAUUACAGUUAAGAAUAAAUACCCAAUGCCAGUGAUCGAUGAGCUACUUGAUGAAUUGUCCGGUGCAAAUUGGUUUACCAAACUGGAUCUCAAAUCUGGGUACCAUCAAAUUCGGCUAGUGCUUGGUGAAGAACACAAGUCGGCUUUCAAAACACACCAAGGGUUGUAUGAAUUCAAGGUGAUGUCCUUUGGUCUCACAAACGCCCCUGCAACGUUUCAAGCUGCAAUGAACACAAUUUUUGUUUCCCUCAUUCGAAAAUGUGUUCUUGUCUUCAUGGAUGAUAUCUUAAUAUAUAGUCAUACACUUGAAGAUCAUGUGUGUCACUUGAAACAAGUGUUUGCUCUUCUCCACCAGCACCAGUUGUAUAUUAAGAAGAGUAAAUGUUCCUUUGCCCAAAAACAACUUGAGUACUUGGGUCACAUCAUCAGUCACAAAGGGGUCGCUACUGACCCUUCGAAGAUCCAAGCUGUCGCUCAGUGGCCUACACCGACAACUAUCAAGCAAGUUAGGGGGUUUCUUGGGUUAACGGGUUAUUACCGCAAGUUCAUAAAACAUUAUGGGAUCAUCAGUCGAGUAUUGUCAGAUUUGCUCCGUAAAGAUACCAUGUUUUAUUGGACAAACAAAGAAGAUGAAGCUUUUCAACAUUUGAAAUCAGCUCUUACUCAAGCCCCUGUCUUGGCUCUACCAAAUUUCAAAUUGCCAUUUGUUGUCGAAACAGAUGCAAGCAAGUAUGGUAUUGGUGCUGUACUGAUGCAACAAGGGCAUCCGAUCAGUUUUCUCAGCAAGGCUUUGGGACCCAAGACGCAAGGCUACUCCACUUAUGAGAAGGAGUGUCUUGCUAUCUUGAUGGCGGUGGAGAAAUGGCGUUCAUACCUCCAGCACGCUGAAUUCACCAUUUCCACUGAUCACCGUAGCUUAACUUACUUGUCUGAGCAAAAGCUUACUACUGACAUCCAACAAAAGGCUUUUCUGAAAUUAAUGGGACUCCAGUACAAGUUGGUUUACAAAAAAGGCCAUGAAAAUGCUGCUGCUGAUGCUCUUUCCCGUCAAGCAAUUCCUGAAUCAUGUCAUGCAAUUUCUCUCUGUCAGCCCAAGUGGUUGGAAGUAAUUGUGGAUGGCUACACAAAAGAUGAUACAACUAAAAAGUUGUUACAGGAGUUGAGUUUCACUGGAUCUAACUCUGCUGGCUACACGUUGGUGAAUGGUAUUAUCAGGCAUAAGGGACGCGUCUGGCUCGGUUCUAACACUGAGGCACAUCAAGCUAUUCUGCUCUCCUUGCAUGCAAGUGGCAUUGGUGGUCACUCUGGGUUCUUAGCAACUUACAAGCGCAUUAGUGCUCUGUUUGCAUGGCCUGGUAUGAAGACUGAUGUAAAAACAUAUGUGCAAAAUUGUACCAUAUGUCAGCAAGCCAAAUCUGAAACUGUGAAGUUGCCAGGUCUUCUGAAUCCAUUACCCAUCCCAGAUGAACCUUGGAGUUUGGUGAGCAUGGAUUUUGUGGAGGGCCUUCCCAAGUCUGGCUCAUAUAAUACCAUAUUGGUGGUGAUUGACAAGUACACUAAGUUCGGUCACUUCAUCCCUCUGGCUCAUCCCUACUCUGCUCUUCAAGUUGCUCAACUCUUUUACAACCACAUCUAUAAGUUACAUGGUCUGCCGUCCGGCAUUAUAUCUGAUCGGGAUAAGGUAUUUACCAGCAAUGUUUGGCAAUCUUUGUUCAAGAUGACGGAUGUGAAGAUGAAUAUGAGUUCGGCACACCAUCCCCAAACUGAUGGUCAGACCGAAAAGCUUAAUCAAUGUCUUGAGACCUUUCUCAGGUGUACGGUUCAUGCUUCGCCGACCAAAUGGUCUCAAUGGUUGCCUUCGGCUGAACAUUGGUACAACACUAAUUUUCACUCAGCGCUGGGCAAGUCUCCAUUCGAGGUGUUAUAUGGCUAUAAACCACGACAAUUGGGCAUUGCUCAUAUUCCAGAAUCCACACCAUCUGAUCUGGCGGGUUGGCUACAAGAAAGAGAAAUGAUGCAAGAACUUGUUAAGCAACACCUACUUCGAGCUCAGCACCGCAUGAAGCAACAAGAAGAUAAACAUCGUUCUGAUCGGGUGUUUCAGGUGGGAGAUUUUGUUUAUCUCAAGCUUCAACCAUAUGCACAAAUGUCUGUUGCUCGUCGUGCAAAUCACAAGUUGUCCUUCAAAUUUUAUGGUCCCUAUGAGGUGCUCGCUCGCGUGGGAAAGUCAGCCUACAAAUUGAAGCUUCCAACAAAUAGUCGUAUUCAUCCGGUGGUGCACGUCUCCCAGCUGAAGCCCUCUCUACCGGCAAAUCAGGUGCCUUCUGAUGCUUCUUUGCAUCUGCUUACGGAUGUUCCAGUUUCUAUUCAGCCGGGGCAGAUUCUUGAUUCUCGUUUGGUGCGAGCUGGUAAUGGCGCUCGUGCACAAGUGCUCGUUCAUUGGGCUGGCCUCUCAUCUAAUCUGAACUCCUGGGAAGACAAGAACGCACUCCAGCACCGGUUUCCUUCUACAGCAGCAUGGGGGCAUGCUGUGUCUCAAGGAGGAGGGCAUGCUACGCACCUUCCAUGUGGGCCAGCCAAGACCAAGGCCUCUCCUAGAAGCUGACUCGGUCAAGCCCAGCAGGUAACCGGCGCUCGCGUGACCGGCUUGGCCCAUCUACCGGACGUGCCCCUCUUAAGCAAAAACUAAGGCUAACCUGAGGGGAUAAGGAGGGUAAAAGAAUAUUUUGUCCGUCUAUCUUCUUCCUAUCCGCUACUCUGUAUCUCCGCUUUCCCCUCUUCUCAUCUACAGAACUAUGUGUUCUUGUGACUGAAUCCUUUGUGUGACACAAAGCGAUUGCUACUAAUCUCUGUGGGUUCAUAGCAGUGUACUCAUGGAAUUCGUCUAGUUCGAGGAGCUUGAGGUUCGGGAAGGUUGGCAGGAUGGCCCCGCCGUGCUCCUCCUCGCCGUAGAUGAUGUCGUUCAUGAAGUUGACGUGCAGCUUUAAGGCCCUUGUGUUGGAGAAGCUUACGAGCAUACGUGACGUGGGCUCCACUGCGACUGCUCUCCAUGGAGAGUGGCGUUGAGGUCGACGCUUGACAGGCCCGGCGCCGGCGAUGCCAACGACAGCUUGAUGGCGUCCCCCGUGUAGCGGAAGUACGCAGGCUCGGCAUGUCGAGCUCGAUGCCCGAUGCUGGCGAGCUCCUUGUUAACAUGUAUUAUUCCAUGUGUAUUUGUACCUGUGUAUACUCUCCUAGUAUAUAGGAUCGUGGGUGUUGCCUGGGCCUGCGUGCCACAUUCAUCGGGCCUUCUGUUGUAACUCACCCUGUAUAUGUUGUACCGAUGGCAAUAUGCCAAACACAGAGAAUAUUAUUGAGCCGUUCUCCUUCCAACUUGGUAUCAG